AGAGUUUGAUCCUGGCUCAGGAUGAACGCUGGCGGCGUGGAUAAGGCAUGCAAGUCGAGUGGGUUUAGACCCACGGCGAACGAGGUAGUAACACGUAGGUACGCACCCCAAAGUCGGGCAUAACUAGCCGAAAGGUUAGAUAAUUCCCGAUAGUCUCUUCGGAGUAAAGAUUUAUCGCUUUGGGAGCGGCCUGCGCGCUAUCAGCUAGUUGGUAAGGUAACGGCUUACCAAGGCUAUGACGGCUAGGGGAGCUGAGAGGCUGACCCCCACCGAUGGUACUGAGACACGGUCCAGACUCCUACGGGAGGCAGCAGUGGGGAAUUUUGGACAAUGGGCGCAAGCCUGAUCCAGCCAUGCCGCGUGGGUGAAGAAGGCCUGCGGGUUGUAAAGCCCUUUCAGUUGGGAAGAAAGGCCCUGUGCUAAGACCACGGGGUGUUGACGUUACCGACAGAAGAAGCACCGGCUAACUCCGUGCCAGCAGCCGCGGUAAUACGGAGGGUGCGAGCGUUAAUCGGAAUUACUGGGCGUAAAGGGCGCGUAGGCGGUUCAGUGCGUUGGAUGUGAAAGCCCUGGGCUUAACCUGGGAAUGGCAUUCGAUACGGCUGGGCUAGAGUAUGGUAGAGGGAAGUGGAAUUUCCGGUGUAACGGUGAAAUGUGUAGAGAUCGGAAGGAACACCAGUGGCGAAGGCGACUUCCUGGACCAAUACUGACGCUCAAGCGCGAAAGCGUGGGGAUCAAACAGGAUUAGAUACCCCGGUAGUCC
RNAcentral lists this ribosomal RNA (763 nucleotides) under uncultured Chromatiales bacterium. RNAcentral describes it as "bacterial SSU rRNA". It matches the Rfam family "Bacterial small subunit ribosomal RNA", at positions 8 to 796 of the family's 1533-position model. The record is from RNAcentral. Lineage: Bacteria; Pseudomonadati; Pseudomonadota; Gammaproteobacteria; Chromatiales.